This 533-nucleotide long non-coding RNA is filed under the name Mus pahari (shrew mouse). Its description in RNAcentral is "lncRNA (MGP_PahariEiJ_G0005351.1)". The record is from RNAcentral. Lineage: Eukaryota; Metazoa; Chordata; Mammalia; Rodentia; Muridae.
AGACUCAUGCAAUCUACGGCAGCAACAGAGACUUCCACCAUAACCCCAGGCACAGGCUGAGUGAUGGAUGUGACAGAUGCUGAAUGAUAUGUGCCUGAGCAAACCGCAGUGAACUCUGGGAAACCCGGAAGGAGAUGAUUAUCAUGAAAAAUGAUGUUUUAAACCUGUGAUUCAAUAUCCAGAAACUCAUCAGACAGGAAACUAAACAAGAUUCUGAAUCUUUUCUACAUUCAUUUGUGGUGGAAGAGUGGCGUAGCCCAGGGCUGUGUCUGCUUCAACAUGCAGGGAGAGUCAGCCUACAGUCAGUCCAUAAUUAGCACCGACAUGUCAUUCCAGUGAGAGUCACAGUCCCGUGCCACCCCGUGGGACCCAAGUCCUGAUCAUGAAAACCCAUGCCAGCACAUCCUCUCUGAAGGGUCCCCCAAAAAGUCCCUUGGAAAGUGCCAUUCAUCCCUCAUACGUGUCUCUCUCUAGCACCUGCCUGGUCCACUGUGCCAUAAAAUGAAAUCUCUCUUAAUGAGAAACUGUACCUA